GCUUGUCCUGCUACAUCUACUGUGUAUCCUCUACAUCUACUGUGUUACUCUCUACAUCUACUGUGUAUCCUCUACAUUCUACUGUGUACCUCUACAUCUUCUGCCGUGAUCCUCUUAGUAUCUACUGUGUAUCCUCUACAUCUACUGUAUGUUCUCUACACUACGUAUGUGUCUCUCUACUCUACUCAGCGUGUCUCUACAUCUACUGUGUAUCCUUCUCAUCUACUGUGUACUCCUAAUCUACUUGCGUAUCCUGCUAUAUCUACUGUUGUAUUCCCUCUACAUCUACUGUAUGUUCUCUACAUCUACUAUGGUCCUCUACCAUCUACAGCAUGUCCUCUACAUCUACUGUGUACCUCUACAUCUACUGGUACUCUCUACGCAGAUGCUACUGGUGUAUCCUGCUACAUCUACUGCGUAUCCUCUAUAUCUACUUGUGGUAUCCUUCUACAUUCUACUGUAUGUUCGUCGUACAUCUACUGUGUAUCCUCUACAUCUACUGCGUAUCCUCUACAUCUACUGUGUAUCCUCUUACAUUUACUGUGUACUCUACUACACAUUCUACUGUGUAUUCCCUCCAUCUACUGUGUGUUCUCUACAAUAUUGGCAUCAACGCAAUACAUGGUACUGAAAUCCCCCAUAUAGACAUUAAGCAGAGGGUGAAGGAAGGGGAUGGAGGGCUGUGCAGGAACAAAUAGUAACAAGGACUCAUGACUCGUGUAUAUGAAAAUGUCAUAAUGAACACCCAUUUUCUGUACUUAAAGUGAGUAAUAAAAC
Molecule: long non-coding RNA, 777 nt
Filed under: Rattus norvegicus (Norway rat)
Lineage: Eukaryota; Metazoa; Chordata; Mammalia; Rodentia; Muridae
Description: long non-coding RNA NONRATT033741
Source: RNAcentral